Paragonimus heterotremus is the source of this 81-nucleotide non-coding RNA. Lineage: Eukaryota; Metazoa; Platyhelminthes; Trematoda; Plagiorchiida; Troglotrematidae. The record is from the annotation of a GenBank genome assembly.
GACUUCGUAGCUCAGCUGGUAGAGCGUUUGCCAUGUUUUGGCAUGUUGUUCCACUCGCCGGUUCGAUUCCAGCGGAAGUCC